RNAcentral lists this ribosomal RNA (450 nucleotides) under uncultured bacterium. RNAcentral describes it as "partial 16S ribosomal RNA". It matches the Rfam family "Bacterial small subunit ribosomal RNA", at positions 354 to 796 of the family's 1533-position model. The record is from RNAcentral.
GUGGGGAAUUUUGGACAAUGGGCGCAAGCCUGAUCCAGCAAUGCCGCGUGCAGGAAGAAGGCCUUCGGGUUGUAAACUGCUUUUGUACGGAACGAAACGGUCCGGGUUAAUACCCUGGGCUAAUGACGGUACCGUAAGAAUAAGCACCGGCUAACUACGUGCCAGCAGCCGCGGUAAUACGUAGGGUGCAAGCGUUAAUCGGAAUUACUGGGCGUAAAGCGUGCGCAGGCGGUUUUGUAAGACAGGCGUGAAAUCGCCGGGCUCAACCUGGGAAUUGCGCUUGUGACUGCAAGGCUGGAGUGCGGCAGAGGGGGAUGGAAUUCCGCGUGUAGCAGUGAAAUGCGUAGAUAUGCGGAGGAACACCGAUGGCGAAGGCAAUCCCCUGGGCCCGCACUGACGCUCAUGCACGAAAGCGUGGGGAGCAAACAGGAUUAGAAACCCGGGUAGUCC